AGUAACACUUUGUGUAAAAGAUUAAGCCAUGCACGUGUGAGAAUAACCGAAUUAAGGUGGGAAUCUGCGAAUGGCUCAUUAUAUCAGUUAUAGUUUACUUGAUACUCUCUCUCUACUUGGAUACCCGUAGUAAUUCUAGAGCUAAUACAUGCCAUGUCCGCGGCGAUCGCAAGAGAGCCGCGUGCUAACUAGAUUUAAACCAGCCCCGAAAGGGUCUCAUGGUGAUUCAUAGUUAUCGAACGAACCGCAUGCCUCACGGCGGCGGUGAUUCAAUCAAGUUUCUGCCCUAUCAGCUUUCGAUGGUAGUGUAUUGGACUACCAUGGCGAUAACGGGUAACGGGGAAUUAGGGUUCGAUUCCGGAGAGGGAGCCUGAGAAACGGCUACCACUUCUAAGGAAGGCAGCAGGCGCGUAAAUUACCCAAUCCUGAUUCAGGGAGGUAGUGACAAGAAAUAACAACCCGGGGACUUUGUCUUUCGGGAUUGCAAUGAGGACAAUCUAAUAGACCUUACCGAGGAACAAU
Molecule: ribosomal RNA, 522 nt
Filed under: uncultured eukaryote
Lineage: Eukaryota
Description: bacterial SSU rRNA
Rfam family: Eukaryotic small subunit ribosomal RNA
Source: RNAcentral